CCUACGGGAGGCAGCAGUCGGGAAUUUUGCUCAAUGGGCGAAAGCCUGAAGCAGCAACGCCGCGUGAGGGAUGAAGGCCUUCGGGUUGUAAACCUCUUUUCUCAGGGACGAUGAUGACGGUACCUGAGGAAUAAGCCACGGCUAACUACGUGCCAGCAGCCGCGGUAAUACGUAGGUGGCGAGCGUUGUCCGGAUUUACUGGGCGUAAAGAGCGCGCAGGCGGUCGUGCAAGUCGGAUGUGAAAGCCCCCGGCUCAACUGGGGAGGGUCAUUCGAUACUGCGCGACUCGAAGGCGGGAGAGGGAAGCGGAAUUCCCGGUGUAGUGGUGAAAUGCGUAGAUAUCGGGAGGAACACCAGUGGCGAAGGCGGCUUCCUGGCCCGUUCUUGACGCUGAGGCGCGAAAGCUAGGGGAGCAAACGGGAUUAGAUACCCCGGUAGUCAC
RNAcentral lists this ribosomal RNA (442 nucleotides) under uncultured bacterium. RNAcentral describes it as "bacterial SSU rRNA". It matches the Rfam family "Bacterial small subunit ribosomal RNA", at positions 338 to 797 of the family's 1533-position model. The record is from RNAcentral.